Molecule: long non-coding RNA, 1057 nt
Organism: Raphanus sativus (radish)
Lineage: Eukaryota; Viridiplantae; Streptophyta; Magnoliopsida; Brassicales; Brassicaceae
Exons: 2
Source: RefSeq, a predicted model, not a curated record
UUACAUUACAGAUAGUCUUACGUGUACUGAAAACACUACAAAAGAAGCUAAAGGUUGUCUCUGUUUGAUAGGGUUCUCAAGAAAACAGAUACGCUCUUCUGUCUCAGAACGCCGUUAUACUAACCUAAAUUUGUGCUUCUCUCUUCUUUUUAUUACAGAGAUAGAAAACAGAUACGCUCUUCCGUCUGUCUUCCGUUUUCUUUAUUACAGAGAUAGAAUCACCGUCGGGCUCGGAUUCGCUUGGUGCAGGUCAGGACUGAUUGGCUGACACGACCACAGAGGUGCUUUUGCCUUAUUGGUUUGUAAGCAGGGAUUGGCUCCCGCCUUGCAUCAACUGAAUCGGAGCCUCCAAUGGUGAAACGAAUCCAAUUAGAUCUGUAAGAGAACUAGGAUAAAAGAGAGCUCUGGUUUCUUGAGAAUCAUAAAAGGUAAUUGUUUUAUGGAAAUCUUCUGGCUUUUUUUCUUUAAAUAGUUGAUUUAAGUUAAAAUCAUUAAUAAAAACAUAUGUGAUAAUUGAAGAAAAAACGGUUUGACAAUCCAUUGUAUACGCGGUAUGAUAUGAAGAAGAUAGAGAUCUCGUUACACGAGCAAUCUCUUGUCUUGGUUUUCUCUAAGAAGGUUCAUCUAUGUUUUGAUUUAGCUUCUUGAUGAAAACAAAUGUUUAUCUCUAGUCUUAUUUUAGGAGACACGCAGGUAAACUAUAUUAAUCUUGAUGGCCCGUUCUUACGCAGCCAGCUAUGUCAGAGGAGAAAUCGACAUACGUAAUCCCCAUUACCUGAACAACACUGAUGACUCUUGAUAUCAAGUUUUGAAGCUUCUGAAUAUCAAAAAUACAACAAGAGAAAAAGACUCUGGUGUUGUGUUCCCAGCUUCAAGAACUUGAUCAGUUUCAGUGAUUGCAAAGCAACAACUCCGUAUUUUUACAGCACUUGACCUGGAUCAAAACAACUGUACGUAUGAUGGACGAGUUGUUGACAAAAUGGAUUUCUUUUUCUGUACAAAUUGAUAUCUGAUGCGAAUAAAUGAGAAAAACCAGUAAUCAAACUUUGAUAACACU